This is a non-coding RNA of Dipodomys ordii (Ord's kangaroo rat), 65 nucleotides long. The record is from Rfam. Lineage: Eukaryota; Metazoa; Chordata; Mammalia; Rodentia; Heteromyidae.
GGUGGCUCUAUGGUAGAGUGCUUGCCUUACAUGCAUGAAACCCUGGGUUCGAUUCCUCAGUACCA